UUUUAAAAGAUUCAUCUAUUUUGUACAAUUAAAAACUAGCGUGUCUGAUGGAAUAACUAGAUAGCGACACAAGUUGUACUUCCUGUAUAUCAUGCUGACAUAGAAAGACCAAUUUUUAAUAGUAAAAAUAGAUGAAGUUUUUAACA
This is a non-coding RNA of Gossypium raimondii (Peruvian cotton), 146 nucleotides long. The record is from Rfam. NCBI's taxonomy places the organism in Eukaryota, Viridiplantae, Streptophyta, Magnoliopsida, Malvales, Malvaceae.